ACUGUUUUGCAGCAUGCAUAUGUCACCCUUUGUCAUUAAUAUACUAAAUUGAUGCAUUGACUUAUCAGGAGAUUGUGUGUGUGGCCUUCAUUUGCAGCAAGGAGGGAUACAUUCCCAGUAACUACGUUGUGGAGGCUGGAAAUUAACUGGAAAGGUUUGACUGGUACCGCAAGACCAUGAACCGUAGCCAGGCAGAGAAUCUGUUGAAGACAGAGAACAAAGAUGGUGGUUUCUUAGUACGAGACUCAAGCAAAGCUGGGAAGUACACCGUUUCUGUGUUCACAAAGUGCGGGUGAGUUCAUUUUCCCUUUCCCUUUCAUUGAGGGCAGACAGACCGGGCAUGGCUAAGUGUGUUCUGCGUCCCAAAUGGCACCCUAUUCC
This 381-nucleotide long non-coding RNA is filed under the name Salmo trutta (river trout). RNAcentral describes it as "lncRNA (ENSSTUG00000023446.1)". The record is from RNAcentral. Lineage: Eukaryota; Metazoa; Chordata; Actinopteri; Salmoniformes; Salmonidae.